This 22-nucleotide non-coding RNA is filed under the name Arabidopsis thaliana (thale cress). The record is from RNAcentral. Lineage: Eukaryota; Viridiplantae; Streptophyta; Magnoliopsida; Brassicales; Brassicaceae.
AGUUAGGACCAGUGUAAAAAGU